Molecule: ribosomal RNA, 904 nt
Filed under: uncultured bacterium
Lineage: Bacteria
Description: bacterial SSU rRNA
Rfam family: Bacterial small subunit ribosomal RNA
Source: RNAcentral
GUUUGAUCCUGGCUCAGGAUGAACGCUAGCGGCAGGCCUAAUACAUGCAAGUCGAACGAGAGAAGGGAGCUUGCUCCCCGAUCUAGUGGCGCACGGGUGCGUAACGCGUAUGCAACCUACCUUAAUCAGGGGGAUAGCCUCUCGAAAGAGAGAUUAACACCGCAUAAAAUCACAGUCCGGCAUCGGAUAAUGAUCAAAUAUUUAUAGGAUUAAGAUGGGCAUGCGUGACAUUAGUUUGUUGGUGAGGUAACGGCUCACCAAGACUACGAUGUCUAGGGGAUCUGAGAGGAUGACCCCCCACACUGGUACUGAGACACGGACCAGACUCCUACGGGAGGCAGCAGUAAGGAAUAUUGGUCAAUGGGGGCAACCCUGAACCAGCCAUGCCGCGUGCAGGAAGACAGCCCUAUGGGUCGUAAGCUGCUUUUAUUGGGGAAUAACCUCCUGUAUGUAUACAGGACUGAAUGUACCCAAGGAAUAAGGAUCGGCUAACUCCGUGCCAGCAGCCGCGGUAAUACGGAGGAUCCAAGCGUUAUCCGGAUUUAUUGGGUUUAAAGGGUGCGUAGGCGGCCUAUUAAGUCAGGGGUGAAAGACGGUGGCUCAACCAUCGCAGUGCCUUUGAUACUGAUGGGCUUGAUUGCAGCUGAGGUAGGCGGAAUGUGACAAGUAGCGGUGAAAUGCAUAGAUAUGUCACAGAACACCGAUUGCGAAGGCAGCUUACUAAAGUGUAAAUGACGCUGAGGCACGAAAGCGUGGGGAUCAAACAGGAUUAGAUACCCUGGUAGUCCACGCCCUAAACGAUGAAUACUCGAUGUUAGCGAUAUACAGUUAGCGUCUAAGCGAAAGCGUUAAGUAUUCCACCUGGGGAGUACGCCCGCAAGGGUGAAACUCAAAGGAAUUGACG